Long non-coding RNA from Fundulus heteroclitus (mummichog), 703 nucleotides. RefSeq annotates it as defender against cell death 1. Lineage: Eukaryota; Metazoa; Chordata; Actinopteri; Cyprinodontiformes; Fundulidae. The transcript is spliced from 3 exons. The record is from RefSeq and is a predicted model, not a curated record.
UUGCAACACCGAGGCCACAUCCGGUUGGCGAGGACACGUCACUGAUUAAAGUGAGGAAGAGAAGCUGUUCUAGCCCUCGUCUGCUACUUUUUUAAAAACAUUGAAAAUCAUGUCGAACUCUGUCGUGUCUGUUAUCUCCCGAUUCCUGGAGGAGUACACCACCACGACGCCCAAUAAGCUGAAAGUGGUGGACGCUUAUCUGCUGUACAUCCUGCUGACCGGAGCGAUGCAGUUUCUUUACUGUCUCCUCGUUGGUACCUUCCCAUUCAACAGCUUUCUGUCAGGCUUCAUCUCCUGCGUGGGCUCUUUUAUACUUGCAGUGUGUCUCCGUAUCCAGAUCAACCCUCAGAACAAAGGGGAUUUCUUGUCCAUUUCUCCAGAGAGGGCCUUUGCUGACUUCCUGUUCGCUCACACCGUCUUGCAUCUCGUUGUGAUGAACUUCAUCGGCUGAAAUAAAUGAGGAUUUAAUUCAGUGCCCCUUCCUGAAGGUCACAAAGGAAUCAUCAAAUCUCUCAAAGACGACAUAGUACAUCCGCUUUUCUGCAGCUGAUCUGGACAACAUCCCAGCGUCAACACUGCAUGAGAUGCAUUGUCUUAUAUUUGAUGCAGUACAAUUUUCUUAAUGGAAUGGAUAAUUUGUUAUGUUGACAUUUGUAAAGCAUUCCCUUUUUGCACGGACAGAAAUAAAACAAGUGUAAUGGUG